This 256-nucleotide ribosomal RNA is filed under the name uncultured bacterium. Its description in RNAcentral is "partial 16S ribosomal RNA". It matches the Rfam family "Bacterial small subunit ribosomal RNA", at positions 524 to 776 of the family's 1533-position model. The record is from RNAcentral.
UACGUAGGGGGCAAGCGUUGUCCGGAAUUACUGGGCGUAAAGGGCGCGUAGGCGGCACUGUUAGUCAGGCGUGAAAGUCCUGGGCUCAACCUGGGAACUGCGCUUGAUACGGCAGAGCUAGAGGAUGGAAGAGGCUCGCGGAAUUCCCAGUGUAGAGGUGAAAUUCGUAGAUAUUGGGGAAAGAACACCGGGUGGCGAAGGCGGCGAGCUGGUCCAUUACUGACGCUGAGGCGCGACAGCGUGGGGAGCAAACAGG